RNAcentral lists this transfer RNA (74 nucleotides) under Planctomyces sp. RNAcentral's name for it is "tRNA-Gln". It matches the Rfam family "tRNA". From Rfam's summary of the family: Transfer RNA (tRNA) molecules are approximately 80 nucleotides in length. Their secondary structure includes four short double-helical elements and three loops (D, anti-codon, and T loops). Lineage: Bacteria; Pseudomonadati; Planctomycetota; Planctomycetia; Planctomycetales; Planctomycetaceae. RNAcentral also lists the same sequence under 3 other names. The record is from RNAcentral.
UGGGGAUUAGUAUAGUGGUAGUACGCCUGACUCUGGCUCAGGUGGCAGAGGUUCGAGUCCUCUAUCCCCAGCCA